This is a long non-coding RNA of Ornithodoros turicata, 594 nucleotides long. RefSeq lists it as uncharacterized. NCBI's taxonomy places the organism in Eukaryota, Metazoa, Arthropoda, Arachnida, Ixodida, Argasidae. The record is from RefSeq and is a predicted model, not a curated record. The transcript has 3 exons.
CAUGCUUCCUCAGCAAGGGUAGUGCACCAGGAAAUGUACUGCACAAACUUGUCCUCGAGUGCAUCAUCCUACUUGAGAAUGCAGGACUCCUGGUAGAUGCAGUGACCACUGAUGGGGCAUCGUGGAACAGGAACAUGUGGUCUCACUUUGGAAUCAACACCAGUGAAGUCAACUGUACCGAUCCAUGCAACUUUUCAAGGCAGCUGUGGUUCACAUCUGAUUUCCCACAUUUGAUAAAAUGCUUGAGGAACAGCCUUGUGAAGAAAAGAAAGUUGACAACACCAGACGGAAUAGUUGACAUAAAGCAUUGGAGUGCAGUGGUAGAAAUGGAUCGGCCCAGGGCACACAACCUGAAAGCAUGCCCUAAGCUGACGCCGGAUCAUGUAGAUCCACGCCCAUAUCAAAAGAUGAACGUGGCCAUGGCAUUCCAGUUGUUCAGCGACAGUGUUGCAAAGGGGAUGAAGCAUUAUCAGCCUCAUCACGACAACCUGACACUCUGCGAUGCAUCUAUUGCAUUCGUACAACGUGUCAACCAGCUGGUAGACGUCAUGAAUGCGAGGACUCCAAAAGAUGCACUCACUACAGACCCACAAA